This 168-nucleotide ribosomal RNA is filed under the name Entoloma sp. RNAcentral's name for it is "partial large subunit ribosomal RNA". It matches the Rfam family "Eukaryotic large subunit ribosomal RNA", at positions 100 to 261 of the family's 3401-position model. The record is from RNAcentral. Lineage: Eukaryota; Fungi; Basidiomycota; Agaricomycetes; Agaricales; Entolomataceae.
GGGAAAAGCUCAAAUUUAAAAUCUGGUAGUCUUUGGCUGCCUGAGUUGUAAUCUAGAGAAGCAUUAUCCGUGCUAGACCAUGUAUAAGUCUCCUGGAAUGGGGCGUCACAGAGGGUGAGAAUCCCGUCUUUGACAUGGACUUCUGGUGCUUUGUGAUAUGCUCUCAAA